Molecule: RNA transcript, 2029 nt
Organism: Sebastes umbrosus (honeycomb rockfish)
Lineage: Eukaryota; Metazoa; Chordata; Actinopteri; Perciformes; Sebastidae
Gene name: ethanolamine-phosphate cytidylyltransferase-like
Exons: 14
Source: RefSeq, a predicted model, not a curated record
UCGUUGCGUCGCCGGUAGAGGAGGCGUUGACGCACCGGAGCUCCUACUGCUGCUGCUGCUGCUGCUGCUGGAGCUCCUACUGCUCCUACUGCUGCUGCUGAAACACUAACCGGCUGUCCUGCAACUGAAACAGGACACACACUUCACUGACAGCAUCUCCACCCUGGGGGGGGGGAGUCACUCUUACAGUUUAAAGUGUGAUCACUCAGCAGCUCCAUCAUGAUCAAGAACGGACAUCACCAUCACCAAGUGAACACGAACACUGCAGCCGGAGGAAUGAAAGACGCAGCAGGGACGAGCCCAGGAUCUGCAGCCUGCAGUCCGGACAGGAGGAGGAGGAGGAUCCGGGUGUGGUGCGACGGCUGCUAUGACAUGGUUCAUUAUGGCCACUCCAACCAGCUGCGGCAGGCCAAGGCCAUGGGAGAUUACCUCAUCGUUGGAGUACACACAGACAGUGAGAUUGCGAAGCACAAGGGCCCGCCUGUCUUCACACAGGCAGAAAGAUACAAGAUGGUGCGGGCCAUAAAGUGGGUGGACGAGGUCGUGGAAGGAGCGCCUUACGUCACAACCCUCCAGACCCUCGACAAGUACAACUGUGACUUCUGUGUGCACGGAGAUGAUAUCACACUAACAGUGGAUGGGAAAGACACAUAUGAAGAGGUGAAGAAGUCAGGGCGGUACAGGGAGUGUAAGAGAACCCAGGGAGUUUCAACCACAGAUCUUGUUGGUAGGAUGCUACUGAUGACCAAAGCACAUCACAGCAACAUUGAUAGUUCAGACUAUCAACAGCACACGGACAACUUUGGAAAGAAGGGCCACAGUCCCUGGACAGGAGUGUCUCAGUUCCUGCAGACUUCACAGAAGAUCAUCCAGUUUGCCUCGGGCCAGGAGCCUCAACCCGGAGACACGAUCAUCUAUGUGGUGGGAGCCUUUGACCUCUUCCACAUCGGCCAUGUGGACUUCCUGGAAGCAGUACAUAAGCUCGCAGAAAAGCCAUACAUUAUAGUGGGGUUGCACUUCGAUCAGGAGGUGAACCGCUACAAAGGGAAAAACUACCCCAUCAUGAAUGUCCACGAGAGAACGCUCAGCGUCCUGGCUUGUCGAUAUGUGUCAGAAGUGGUGAUUGGUGCACCGUUUGCAGUCACAAAAGAUUUGCUGGACCAUUUCAAGGUGGAUCUUGUAUGCCAUGGAAAAACCGAAAUAUAUCCUGACAAGGAUGGAUCCGACCCUUAUGCUGAGCCGAGGAGGAAAGCAAUCCUGCGUACCGUUGACAGCGGGAACAGCCUCACUACGGACGCCAUUGUGCAGAGGAUAAUUAAAAACAGCCUAGUUCACACUACACAACUUGUCAAAGUCGUCAGAUCGCUGUACUGUUCACACUACACAACUUGGUGUCUUGUAAUUGGGAGUCUUUAAAUCGUUGUGGUUUUCACAUCACACGACUGACCGGCGACGGGGGGUCACACACUACAAGAUCUUUCACCUGAAGGAAUCUCCGAUGAGGUCUCCAAACUACGCUUUGUCACAAAAACACAUGCGAGAAAUACGGUUGCUAUUCGAGGCAAGGAACCAGAAGAAAGAGGCCAAAGAGAUUGCUGUGAUCCAGGCCAUGCGGCGACAAGAGGAGGAGAAAACUAAAGAAAGAACCCCGGCCGUGCUGUAGGAAGGCCCCCAAACAAGCACCACCGACCACGAGUCAACCUAACACUGACAAGCUCAAUUAAUCUAAACUCAUGUACAGUAAAAUCAAACCCUUUUAUAUGUGUUAUGAUGACACACGAUCCUGGCUAAAAGCAGCAGUCCUUAACAGCAGCCCGUUUAUAGCCAGGGCGGCAUAGUCUGCUGUGGGAUCAUCAGGUAUACAGUGUGUGUGUGUGGGUGUGUGUGUGUGAGGAUCUUCUGUGUAUUAAUAUAUUCGGCAUAUGCAAAUACAUUUUCAUGUCAGUCAACAAUCAACCCAGUCGCACUGCAGUUCAUGAAAUACUCACGACAUUUAACAUAUUGAUUUGUGUAUAGACACAAAAUUAAA